This 535-nucleotide ribosomal RNA is filed under the name Melanaspis sp. ud3977. RNAcentral describes it as "partial 28S ribosomal RNA". The record is from RNAcentral. Lineage: Eukaryota; Metazoa; Arthropoda; Insecta; Hemiptera; Diaspididae.
AUCUGGGCGGCGGAAUUCAGGAUGACUGGCGCGUCUCCGCGCGGCGCGUCGGUCGUUUGAUAUUUCCGUCGCCGAUCACCCGCAGACGUCGCGACCUGUUCGCGGUCGGUCUAGGAGCCGCGUUCGAGUUCGUUGUGUGCGCGUUUCGGCGUGCCACGCGACGAAGACGCGGAUCUCUGGCUGGCCGUCGGACAGUACGCUCAACGGUGUCCGGUGUCGCCUCGCGCGUGCACCGGUACCGGUCAGCGACGAAUUCUUCGGGCCUCUUUCCGACCCGUCUUGAAACACGGACCAAGGAGUCUAACAUGCGCGCGAGUCGCGGGGUGUCGAGCGUACUUCGGUGCGUUCGUUACGUUGCGAAACCCGUACAUGUCGAAGGCGUAAUGAAAGUAAAUGGGGAAGAUGGUGUUCCGAGUACACGUUCCGCGAUCGUCGGUAUCGCGGCCGGACACCCGCAUUCCCGGGGCGUCUCAACGGCCCGUCGCUGACGCGGACAGUCGUCUUUCGGGGCGGCUGUCGGUCGGCGAUGAACCGA